This is a non-coding RNA of Linnemannia elongata, 122 nucleotides long. The record is from the annotation of a GenBank genome assembly. NCBI's taxonomy places the organism in Eukaryota, Fungi, Mortierellomycota, Mortierellomycetes, Mortierellales, Mortierellaceae.
GAAGAGGUGGCCGAGUGGUCCAAGGCGCCGCAACCACAAGGUUUUCCAUUUGAUUCCUACUGGAUUCAAACACUUGCGGUCUGUUCCAAGAACAGUCGUGGGUUCAAAUCCCUCCCUCUUCU